Molecule: ribosomal RNA, 484 nt
Filed under: uncultured bacterium
Lineage: Bacteria
Description: partial 16S ribosomal RNA
Rfam family: Bacterial small subunit ribosomal RNA
Source: RNAcentral
AUUGAACGCUAGCGGGAUGCUUUACACAUGCAAGUCGAACGGCAGCGCGGACUUCGUUCUGGCGGCGAGUGGCGAACGGGUGAGUAAUGUAUCGGAACGUGCCCAGUAUCGGGGGAUAACUACGCGAAAGCGUAGCUAAUACCGCAUACGCCCUACUGGGGAAAGCAGGGGAUCGUAAGACCUUGCCCUAUUUGCGCGGCCGAUAUCGGAUUAGCUAGUUUGUGAGGUAACGGCUCACCAAGGCGACGAUCCGUAGCUGGUUUGAGAGGACGACCAGCCACACUGGGACUGAGACACGGCCCAGACUCCUACGGGAGGCAGCAGUGGGGAAUUUUGGACAAUGGGGGCAACCCUGAUCCAGCCAUCCCGCGUGUGCGAUGAAGGUCUUCGGGUUGUAAAGCACUUUUGGCAGGAAAGAAACGUCGCGGGCUAAUACCCCGUGGAACUGACGGUACCUGCAGAAUAAGCACCGGCUAACUACGUG